GAUGAACGCUGGCGGCGUGCCUAAUACAUGCAAGUCGAGCGAACAGACGAGGAGCUUGCUCCUUUGACGUUAGCGGCGGACGGGUGAGUAACACGUGGGUAACCUACCUAUAAGACUGGGAUAACUUCGGGAAACCGGAGCUAAUACCGGAUAAUAUUUCGAACCGCAUGGUUCGAUAGUGAAAGAUGGCUUUGCUAUCACUUAUAGAUGGACCUGCGCCGUAUUAGCUAGUUGGUAAGGUAACGGCUUACCAAGGCAACGAUACGUAGCCGACCUGAGAGGGUGAUCGGCCACACUGGAACUGAGACACGGUCCAGACUCCUACGGGAGGCAGCAGUAGGGAAUCUUCCGCAAUGGGCGAGAGCCUGACGGAGCAACGCCACGUGAGUGAUGAAGGUCUUCGGAUCGUAAAACUCUGUUAUUAGGGAAGAACAAACGUGUAAGUAACUGUGCACGUCUUGACGGUACCUAAUCAGAAAGCCACGGCUAACUACGUG
This 497-nucleotide ribosomal RNA is filed under the name uncultured bacterium. RNAcentral's name for it is "partial 16S ribosomal RNA". It matches the Rfam family "Bacterial small subunit ribosomal RNA", at positions 28 to 507 of the family's 1533-position model. The record is from RNAcentral.